GGUCAAAUGGCUGAGAUAAGGCGGUAGAUUGUAAAUCUACACACGGAGGCACUCUCCUUUGGUCA
Molecule: transfer RNA, 65 nt
Filed under: Typhlopatsa pauliani
Lineage: Eukaryota; Metazoa; Arthropoda; Malacostraca; Decapoda; Atyidae
Description: tRNA-Tyr
Rfam family: tRNA
About the family: Transfer RNA (tRNA) molecules are approximately 80 nucleotides in length. Their secondary structure includes four short double-helical elements and three loops (D, anti-codon, and T loops).
Source: RNAcentral